CUACGUAGGUGACAAGCGUUAUCCGGAUUUACUGGGCGUAAAGGGCGUGUAGGCGGUCUUGCAAGUCAGAAGUGAAAUUCCUGAGCUCAACUCGGGAGCUGCUUCUGAAACUGCAAGUCUUGAGUGCUGGAGGGGAUAGCGGAAUUCCUAGUGGAGCGGUAAAAUGCGCAGAUAUUAGGAAGAACACCGGUGGCGAAGGCGGCUAUCUGGACAGUAACUGACUCUGAGGCGCGAAAGCGUGUGGAGCAAACAGGAUUAGAUACCCUGGUAGUCCACGUCCUAAACGAUGAAUACUAGGUGUGGGGGGACUGACCCCCUCCGUGCCGGAGUAAACACAAUAAGUAUUCCACCUGGGGAGUACGACCGCAAGGUUGAAACUCAAAGGAAUUGACGGGG
RNAcentral lists this ribosomal RNA (396 nucleotides) under uncultured bacterium. Its description in RNAcentral is "partial 16S ribosomal RNA". It matches the Rfam family "Bacterial small subunit ribosomal RNA", at positions 523 to 918 of the family's 1533-position model. The record is from RNAcentral.